UACGAAGGGGGCUAGCGUUGUUCGGAAUCACUGGGCGUAAAGGGCGCGUAGGCGGCGCGGUAAGUCGGGUGUGAAAUCUCGGAGCUUAACUCCGAAACUGCAUUCGAUACUGCCGUGCUUGAGGACUGGAGAGGAGACUGGAAUUUACGGUGUAGCGGUGAAAUGCGUAGAUAUCGUAAGGAAGACCAGUGGCGAAGGCGGGUCUCUGGACAGUUCCUGACGCUGAGGCACGAAGGCCAGGGGAGCAAACGGG
This 253-nucleotide ribosomal RNA is filed under the name uncultured bacterium. RNAcentral describes it as "partial 16S ribosomal RNA". It matches the Rfam family "Bacterial small subunit ribosomal RNA", at positions 524 to 776 of the family's 1533-position model. The record is from RNAcentral.